Molecule: long non-coding RNA, 268 nt
Filed under: Manihot esculenta (cassava)
Lineage: Eukaryota; Viridiplantae; Streptophyta; Magnoliopsida; Malpighiales; Euphorbiaceae
Description: long non-coding RNA (MESC_LNC001293)
Source: RNAcentral
GGACUUUCGGCCGCCGAAGGUGCCGCCGAAAGUACCCGACUUUCGGAUCUGUCCAGGACUUUCGGCCGCCGAAGGUGCCGCCGAAAGUGCCCUGUCCAGCUUUCCUUUGCAUGUUUUCCUUGCAUGUUUUGAUGAUGUUCUAGGGGGUUUUUGGGGAGUUGUUUAUGAGUUGUUUAGAAUGUUUUGGCACCUCAUUCGAGUCCACUUGUGUAGGAUUGGACCCGAGGGACCGAGGAGGCCAUCAGUGUUAGCAGUUGCAGAGUCAGUC